Podarcis lilfordi (Lilford's wall lizard) is the source of this 7228-nucleotide non-coding RNA. NCBI's taxonomy places the organism in Eukaryota, Metazoa, Chordata, Lepidosauria, Squamata, Lacertidae. The record is from the annotation of a GenBank genome assembly.
GUGGCGAGGCGGCCUUCCUACGGGGAGGAGGGGUGUGUUACACAGCUGCGUUUCAAACAACCGGCCGCUAGGCUUGGGGAGGGGAAAAGGUGGGGGGGCUAAGAGAGGCAGAGAGAAAGGCAGCUUCGCCCGCCGUUACGUUGCCCUCCUGUGUUUGCAAUGGAUCUGUGUGACCAUCGGGGAGGGAGAGGCGAUCCAGCGAGCGGCCACGCCAGCAUACAUUAAAAGGAGCGCCUUCUCCAGCGACCAACCUGCCCCCCUCUCCAAGGUCUUGGAUACGGAGGAGGAACAACUGCGAGGGAACUAACGUAGGUAGACCGGGGGAGCGAGCGGGGAGGGAGAAGCGGGCGUAGCUCUUCUCCUACAGGGGAGGGGUCGGCGGCGGCAGGAGGAUCCUUGCAACACCCAGCGCGCUCUCCCUACCCAUAUCUUCGGCUAGCCCUAUCCUGCUUCUUCCCCCGGCAGCUCAGCGGUGUCGCGCGUCUCCCCUCCUCGAGUGGCGCGGGUAAGCUUUGGAACGUUGGGGGUGGGGAGCGGGGCGGGGGAGGGGCCCUUUUGGAACGCCGAAGCGCCUUUUGGAACGCCGGGGACGGAAUUGUGGCUACUUUCCGCCGCUUCCCUUUUUGCGCGCGCCGAGCGUUCGCUUAGAGACCCUCCUCGCGGGAAAAGGGAAAUAAAGGGGGUUGGGAACCCCACCCCCGAAACGCGGCGGCCGUGCCUACCCUCCCCACCCGGGUUUCCGAAAGCUGUAGCAGCUGACUUUCCAGCCCACCCACCUACCCCGCGUCUCCCCUCCAUAGCGGCCUGUUUUGGAGCCCGCGGUGCCUCUCGCCUCCCUCUCCCUUUGCGCCUCGGAGGGCCCUCUCCUCUAACGAGGCGCGUUCUCGGCUCUGCUUUCGGUUCCUCGCUCCUAGAAGGACCUGGCGGAUUGGAGGCGGGUGGGUUGGCUGGUGUCCCUGCGCUUCUUCCUUCUCCUCCAGGGGGUCAUGUCCCCCCACCUCCUUUUGCCGCCACCCCCUUAUUUCAACUGCGAGGGGCGUGUGGUUUGGAGGGCGCAGAUAAGAGCGUUUAGCUCGGUGUAAAGGGGCAAAAAGGGGUGUGUAUGGGUGUGUUUUUAAGCAAAAUGAGCAUUGCUUUGGGAGGGGGCAGAGAGAGAAGCAUGGCUGAUGUGGGAAGGGAAUCAAGAGUUGGGAGUUGAUUUAUUGUUGUUUUGACACCUACCUUUCAAAGUUUACAUCUUUGGCAUUCCUUGUUUGCAUAAUGAGGCGCUGGAAGGCUGCUUUAGAGAGGUUUGGGACCUCCUCUCUUUCCCCAAAGCUCAUUAUUUAGGAGGAACUGGUCCUGGAAUUGUAUUUCUACUAUUCCUCUCCUCUUCUCACAGUCCCUCUCCCAAAUAAUCUACUUUCCCAUCUCCAUUCCACAAUAGUUGCACAUUUGUUUCACUUUCUCUGUCAAAUUUCUUCCAAGUUCAGCAUCAUAGUAGUAAUAAUCCGCAGUAUUCUCAUGAAUGAAUAUAUAUAUACUGCUUAAUUGCCAAACACACCUUUUAAGCAACUUACAAGUAUAAAACCAAUUACAAGAUAAUAUAAUGGCGUGUAAAUAAGAAUGCACAAUAAAACAAUUUGAUUGAAACGUUGAAAUGAGCAUCCAUGUAUAAAAAAAGCAAAGCAAACGCCUUUGAAGAGUGCAGCAGUUUAAAAAAAGCAAUUAAAAUAAUUAAAAAUUAAAUAUAGUAAUAGUAAUAAGUGUUUGCAUUGAACUGGAGUGUUUUGAUGCUGCUGAUAAUGUACUCUUGUAAUCCAUGUGACACCCCUGUCAGGUAUGCCUAUGGUAUUAUCUCCACUUUGCAGAGGGGAUAACUGAGGCUGAGAGAGAAUGGCUUGUUUAAGGCUACAUAGUUCUUGUGGGAGGUGAGAUGAACUGAUUUUACUCUGGUUGUAGCCAGUGCUUUGUUAAAAAAAAAAGAGAGGUUCUGUAUCCUGAAUGGUGGGCUAUCAGUUGUAAUAAACAGGACCUAGUUAUGGCUGGUUUAUUAGUUUAUUAGUUUCUUCAAUUUUGAUAUACACCAAUGCAGUUCCAUUUCUGAAAUCUCUCUCUACUUUGUCAUAUAAAUGCUAUUGCUUGAGUGGCAUGGCAAAUUGGCUACCUUUGUGCAGGUAAAAGCAUUCACUAGUGUCUCUCAAAUGCUCCAAUUUGACAAAAAAGGUAGCAGAAAGCUUGCUGAGUGGGAUCCACUGGUGGCCUACUAGGUUCCAUUGGGUUCUUGGGCUGAAGUUGGAAGUGACUGAACUGUCAGAUUGUUUCUGAGUUUCCGAGCCGCACUGUUAUGAUUGAAAAGAUUUGGUUCUCAUUGUCUGACUCACUCUUGGCCAGUUGGAGUAUUGCUCCCCACCUGAGAAUUGAUGCAGAAGCAUCGCUGCUCACACUGUCUGCCAGGUAAAAUGGCACAGACAGUUCCCAGCACACGGAAAUAAAUGCAGAAAGUGCUUUUCUAGGGGAAGGAUGACACCUUGUUUCUGAGAAGAAUCUUCCUUCUUCUAUCAAAGUCAUUUUGAUGGUUUGGAUGUUGCCUGGGAGUUUUCAUUGUUAAUUGUUGUGACAGGAUUUUAUUUCAUUGAUAGCUGUUGAUGACAUGCCCAUCCAAGGAUGGAAAUGCUUGAAAUCUGCUUGGAAUUUUGAAACUUGCAAAUAAGGAAGGUGGCAGAGACCAUGGAUUGGUUUAUUGGCUGGUGAUGUCACCGAUGUCCUUUUCCUUGUUGCUGUUCUUUGUAGAAUUGGGCAGACCACAGGUUUUCCAAGAUCAGUUUAUUAACUUUGACCCUCUCGUGUUUCUCACAGCACCUCUCUCACUUGGGCAGAUAAAAGAUUUUGGAAGGAGCAAUUUGAUAGGCUUAGUUGCAGGCAUCUGAAAGAUAUUACUGGUACCUUGAUUCUACCACACAGAAGUGAUUUUAUGUUCCAUUCUUUUGUGCAACACCUUAGCAGAAUAUAUUUAAUUAGAUGCAGAUGCAAUUCCAAAACGUGGAAUAAAGUUUAAAUAUGAAGGUGGGAAAUGAAUACAAAACAAAAUACAAUUUCCCUCCUGGAAUAGAAUUAUUCAGGCUCUGCAAUCCUGUACACACUUGAAUUCAACAGGGCUUAGCUUCUAAGCAGACAUGUAUAGGAUUGCACCGUAAAUCUGCUAUGUAUUUGGACAGCUGCCUGUUAGCUAUGCAUUCGGACAUCUCUUAAAAUAUAAUCAAAAUUUGUGUGAUGAUUCCUGAGAUCCAUGAGCAGGUUUUUGCCUGUGUUUGGAUACAACUGAACAUCACUUUGAAUCAAGAUGGUGGACUGAACCUUUCGAAAUUGCACUGAUUGUAACUACUCCAAGCAAUACCAGGGAUGAGGCUACUAGUAGACUACUGUAUAUAUUUCGUCCUGUGUUCUGUACAUCAGCUGCUCCUGUUUACUAGUGACCCAAUUAAAGAAACCUUAGUUGGCUGAUUGUAUAAAUUUUGGUUGGUUGAUUAACUAAAUUUGCAUAAAUUCACCCAUGGAUAAAACAAUAUCUGAAUAGUUCUUUAAACUUGUAAAACAUCUUGACCUAUUUUUUAUUACUCAUUUUGCAUAGGUCUCUGAAAGGUGACCUUCUUCCCCUACAGACCCACUUGAGUGUUGCCAUCAACAAAGCGGGACCCUCUUGGUCCUUCUGUGCAGUGUUCAAAAUUCCUCUGGCGUGUUUUGCAACUGGUGCAUGCCCAGUUGCGACCACCUGCAUUCUGCCCUACUGGUGCCAACGAGCAUCUUUUAAAAGUGGGGUUUGAUCACAGGGCAGCAUUUCAGAUUUUGGAAGGUGGUGGGGGCAAAUAGAAGAGAUAAUGAUCAAGGGUUUAAAGCAUAUUUUUCCAGUCUGGCGAUCUUCAGAUGUUGCUAGGCUACAACUCCCAUCAUCCCUGACUAUUGGCCACGUGAGCUAGAGCUGAUAGAAGUUGUAGUUGAAAACAUCUGGAAGGCACAAAGGUGAUGUAAAGGCCAGGUUUUUUUGAUACCCUGGGAGUUAAAUUGCCAAAUUAAAUUUCCCAGAAACAGCAUGCUUUAAGAGCAUUUGCUGUGGUUACUUUUUAAAAGACCCAUAAUUAUUGUGAUAUGAUUGGCACAGGUUAGAAUACCACCCCCUCCCAAGUAAUGGGACUGUGCCUUCCAGCAUGCAAUCCCAUUUAAUAGUUUAUUGUUGGUUUGCUAUGAUCCUGUGCGUGCUUUCCUUGGAACAGGCCCCACUGAAUGCUGGGAGACUUACUUUAUGCCUGGAACUAGGUUCCAGCUCUGAAGCAUCUUUGAGCAGGCUUGAGAUCUAGGUUGCUCCAGAGGUGUGUUGUGGAAGCCAGUGAGUGGGACAGAUGCAUGGACUUAGCCUAUGAAUUUGAUCCCUGUAUCCUCAAUGUCUCUUAGUGUAUCAGAAUUAAUUUGGGAACUGCUUGCUGACAGCCUGGAUCACAGAUGUCUGUUUUCUAAAAACGAUGUGGUUUAUUUCCCUUUGUUAAUAAAGAAUUUUACAUUCCUGUGGGCUGACAAUAACUCGGCUUUGGAUGAAAGUCUGCAAAUGUUUCCAACUCGGAACAUACCUUCUCUUCGCCUCUUAAUGUAAAGAGUACAUUUUCCAGAUGCCAUCUAAUACUGCAGUAAUAUAUAGAUUUGCAGCCCUCCAGAUGUGCUGGUGAAAACUGGCCUGGGAGAGGUGUCUGUGUGUGGGCAGAAACUGCUUCCACUUCACUUCCUGAAUCUUCCUCACCUCCUUGUAUUUUGUUUUCCUCUUGGUCUCUUCAAUCUUGGGUGCUACCAAGUGUUUGGUCACUAUGCCGUCGAAGAGAAGCGGGAAUCAGGCUUUGCAAGAACUGAGCUGCUAGGUCUAACCUCAGAGCCCCUUGCGAAAGCUCAGCAAAUCAGAGAGAGGAGAUUGGCUUAAGUUCAAGUUCAGACCUUGAAUGGAGCAGAAGAAGACUUAAAAUGAGUGGUGAAAGAGUGGGCCAACCAGUUCCAUCUGUCUGAUGGAGAUCUGAAGUGGAGGCUGCAAUCCUCUGUACACCUUCCUGAGAGUAAGCCCUGUGUAAGACAGUGGGGGUACUUCUGAGUAAACAUGUAUAACAUGUGCCAUGUGUUUCUUAGGUGGCAACAUCUCCAUAUUUAAAUCACACUGGACACCAAGGAGAACUGCGGUAAUAAUAAUAAUAAUAAUAAUAAUUUUUAUUUAUACCCAGCCAAGGCCAGGCUCAGAGCGGCUUACAAGCAAUAAUAAAAACAAGUUGAAUGAAUACAAUUUAAAAACAAGAUUAAAAUACAACCAUUAAAAUAUUGAAACAUUAAAAUAUUAAAAUGCAGCCUCAUCACAGGAGGAGAAAGGAAAAAGGAAAAAGGAAAAAGAAAGAGGGGGAGGGAAUCAAAUUGGCUCCAAGCCAAAGGCCAGGCGGAACAACUCUGUCUUACAGGCCCUGCAGAAAGAAAUCAGAUCCUGCAGGGCCCUGGUCUCAUGAGGCAGAACGUUCCACCAGGCCGGAGCCAGUGUUGAAAAGGCCCUGGCUCUGGUUGAAGCUAAUCUAACUUCCUUAGGGCCCAGGACCACUAGGUUGUUGCUAUUUAUGGACCUUGAGGCUCUCCGUGGGGCAUACCGGGAGAGGCGGUCCCGUAGGUACAAGGGUCCUAGGCCGUGAAGGGCUUUAAAGGGUAAGGGAUGAAAGCCAUGGCUGAAUCAUCUUUGUAAGCAGGAGAAUCAAAAUUGCCACUGGGUGCACCAGUGUGGUAACCCAUGUGCAAAAUGUCCCGGCUGCAUGCUACCCAGGGAAGGAACGAGAGAAACACCAUUGUGCAUGCUGGCUGGACUGAUGGGAGCUGGAGUCCAAUGGCACCACCAGCCAGGGCUCAGAGGGGCUCAGCACAUCUGAUUACAUAAGUAAAACUUGCAUGUGAUAAAGUGCUUGGAGGAUUGUUGGGGCAGAGGACUGAGGAAGCCCAGCAUUGCGUUAUUGGUUGGUAUUUUCCAAAUCAACCCUGUGGUGUUUUUUUAAAUGGGAAAACUAUCAGAAUCCAGUGGUGGAGUAAUGGGAUGGAUGGCGGCUAAUGGAUUGAAGUUGAAUCCCGACAAGACAGAAGUACUGUUUUUAGGGACAGGGGGCCAGCAGGUGUGGGGGGACACCCUGGUCCUGAAUGGCAUAACUGUGCCCCUGAAGGACCAGGUCUGGGAGUCAUUCUGGACUCAUAACUGUCCAUGGAGGCGCAGGUCAAUUCUGUGUCCAGGGCAGCUGUUUAUCAGCUCCAUCUGGUACACAGGCUGAGACCCUACCUGCCCACAGACUGUCUCACCAGAGUGGUGCAUGCACUGGUUAUCUCCCACUUGGACUACUGCAAUGCGCUCUAUGUGGGGCUACCUUAGAAGGUGACUCGGAAACUGCAAUUAAUCCAGAAUGCGGCAGCUAGACUGGGAGCGGCCGCCAAGACCACAUAACACCGGUCCUGAAAGACCUACAUUGGCUCCCAGUACAUUUCCGAGCACAAUUCAAAGUGUUGGUGCUGACCUUUAAAGUGGCCUCGGCCCUGUAUACCUGAAGGAGCGUCUCCACCCCCAUCAUUCAGCACGGACACUGAGAUCCAGCACCAAGGGCCUUCUGGCGGGUCCCAUGCUGUGAGAAGUGAAGCUACAGGGAACCAGGCAGAGGGCCUUCUCAGCAGUGGCAACCAGCCUGUGGAAUGCCCUCCCAUCAGAUGUUAAGGAAUUACAUAACAUUUAGGAAACAUCUGAAGGCAGCCCUGUAUAGGGAAGCUUUUUAAGGUUUAAUGUUUUGUUACGUUUUUAUAUAUGCUGGAAACUGCCCAGAGUGGCUGGGGCAACCCAGUCAGAUGGGUGGGGUACAAAUAUACUACUACUACUACUACUGUUGUUGUUGUUGUUGUUGUUGUUAAAUUAUUUGCUAAGAUAUAGAUACAGCAGGCAGGAUUCAGUAAAAGAAAACCAAUUUAGGGAGCAGUCCAAAUAGCUCUUGAAAUUGGUGCAUUUAUGUCCUCUGAAGCUCAUGAAGUUGAGCAAAUACAGACACAGCCAUUUCUCUGAGGCCACAUCAGUGCAUUUCUGGGACGUCUGCUCUUGGGUAUUUGCAGUCUUUUCCGCUGCACGGCUUUGUCGCCUGAUGCUUAUUGUAAUGGCUCAAGAACUAAUGUCCUAAAUCCAAAAUAAAUUAAAAGGUGUUCCUUCAUUUACCGC